RNAcentral lists this ribosomal RNA (253 nucleotides) under uncultured bacterium. Its description in RNAcentral is "partial 16S ribosomal RNA". It matches the Rfam family "Bacterial small subunit ribosomal RNA", at positions 524 to 776 of the family's 1533-position model. The record is from RNAcentral.
UACGUAGGUGGCAAGCGUUGUCCGGAUUCACUGGGCGUAAAGCGCGCGCAGGCGGUCUUCUACGUCUGGGGUGAAAACCCGGGGCUCAACCCCGGAUCUGCCGUGCCGACUGUCAAACUCGAGGACUGUAGAGGCAGACGGAAUUCCCGGUGUAGCGGUGAAAUGUGUAGAGAUCGGGAGGAACACCGGUGGCGAAGGCGGGUCUCUGGGCAAUUCCUGACGCUGAGGCGCGAAAGCGUGGGGAGCAAACGGG